RNAcentral lists this ribosomal RNA (468 nucleotides) under uncultured bacterium. RNAcentral's name for it is "partial 16S ribosomal RNA". It matches the Rfam family "Bacterial small subunit ribosomal RNA", at positions 28 to 507 of the family's 1533-position model. The record is from RNAcentral.
GACGAACGCUGGCGGCGUGCUUAACACAUGCAAGUCGAACGGAAAGGCCCUGCUUGUGUGGGAUGCUCGAGUGGCGAACGGGUGUGUAACGCGUGAGUAACCUGCUCUUGACUUUGGGAUAACUUCAGGAAACGGGGGCUAAUACCGGAUAGGAGCUCCUGCUGCAUGGUGGGGGUUGGAAAGUUUUGUGGGUUGGGGAUGGACGCGCGGCUUAUCAGCUGGUUGGUGGGGUAGUGGCUUACCAAGGGUUUGAGGGGUAGCCGGCCUGAGUGGGUGACCGGCAACAUGGGGACUGAGAUACGGCCCAGACUCCUCCGGGAGGAAGCAGUGGGGAAUAUUGAACAAUGGGCGGAAGCCGGAUGCAGCACCGCCGCGUGCGGGAUGACGGCCUUGGGGUUGUAAACCGCUUCCGCCUGUGACGAAGCGUGAGUGACGGUAAUGGGUAAAGAAGCACCGGCUAACUACGUG